Molecule: ribosomal RNA, 448 nt
Filed under: uncultured bacterium
Lineage: Bacteria
Description: partial 16S ribosomal RNA
Rfam family: Bacterial small subunit ribosomal RNA
Source: RNAcentral
UUCCAGACUCCUACGGGAGGCAGCAGUGGGGGAUAUUGCACAAUGGGGGAAACCCUGAUGCAGCGACGCCGCGUGAGUGAAGAAGUAAUUCGUUACGUAAAGCUCUAUCAGCAGGGAAGAAAAUGACGGUACCUGACUAAGAAGCCCCGGCUAACUACGUGCCAGCAGCCGCGGUAAUACGUAGGGGGCAAGCGUUAUCCGGAAUUACUGGGUGUAAAGGGAGCGCAGACGGCAGUGCAAGUCUGGAGUGAAAGCCCGGGGCUCAACCCCGGGACUGCAUUUGAAACUGUCAGGCUGGAGUGCAGGAGAGGUAAGUGGAAUUCCUAGCGUAGCGGUGAAAUGCGUAGAUAUUAGGAGGAACACCAGUGGCGAAGGCGGCUUACUGGACUGUAACUGACGUUGAGGCUCGAAAGCGUGGGGAGCAAACAGGAUUAGAUACCCGGGUAGA